Molecule: ribosomal RNA, 405 nt
Filed under: uncultured bacterium
Lineage: Bacteria
Description: bacterial SSU rRNA
Rfam family: Bacterial small subunit ribosomal RNA
Source: RNAcentral
UGAGGAAUAUUGGUCAAUGGGGGCAACCCUGAACCAGCGACGCCGCGUGGGCGACGAAGGUCUUCGGAUCGUAAAGCCCUUUUCUAGGUGACGAGCAAGGACGGUAGCCUAGGAAUAAGCCUCGGCUAACUACGUGCCAGCAGCCGCGGUAAAACGUAGGAGGCGAGCGUUAUCCGGAGUUACUGGGCGUAAAGCGUCUGUAGGCGGUUGGACAAGUUGCGUGUGAAAGCGCCCGGCUAAACUGGGCGAGGACACGUAAGACUGUUCGGCUAGAGGGUGGUAGAGGGGUGCAGAAUUCCGGGUGUAGCGGUGAAAUGUGUAGAGAUCCGGAGGAAUACCAGUGGCGCAAGCGGCACCCUGGGCCAUACCUGACGCUGAGAGACGAAAGCGUGGGGAGCGAACGGG